ACGUCCCAUUGCAUGGUAAGCAAGUGCUCCUGCCUUCUAAGCGAGCGGUCAGAGGUUCGAGUCCUCUAGGACGCGCCA
Molecule: transfer RNA, 78 nt
Filed under: Cupriavidus yeoncheonensis
Lineage: Bacteria; Pseudomonadati; Pseudomonadota; Betaproteobacteria; Burkholderiales; Burkholderiaceae
Description: tRNA-Arg
Source: RNAcentral